Ctenopharyngodon idella (grass carp) is the source of this 928-nucleotide long non-coding RNA. RefSeq lists it as uncharacterized. The transcript is spliced from 2 exons. The record is from RefSeq and is a predicted model, not a curated record. NCBI's taxonomy places the organism in Eukaryota, Metazoa, Chordata, Actinopteri, Cypriniformes, Xenocyprididae.
AUCAAAAUCAACCGCAGGUGGUAGAUCCUUCUCCUAUUUGGCACCUAAACUCUGGAACAAUCUUCCUAGCAUUGUUCGGGAAGCAGACACACUCUGUCAGUUUAAAUCUAGACUAAAAACGCAUUUCUUUAACCUGGCAUACACAUAACACAUUACCAAUUUAUAUUUUCAAAUCUGUUAAAGGAUUAUUAGGCUGCAUAAAUUAGGUCAGCCGGAACCGGGAACACUUCCUAUAACGCCUGAUGUACUCGUUACAUCAGAAGAAGAAUGGCAUCUACGCUAAUAUUAGUCUUUCUGGUUAUCCCGAGGUUCACCGUAGUCAACCGGAUCCGGGCCGUAUCCAGGUGAGACCAAGGACCUGCACCUUGACACGACCACAAUGCAGCCUUGACGUAUCAGCAGAGAUUGAGUCAACUAGAUCAUCCACUGUGAGGGCCUCAUCGACACGACAGCCACGACACAGUUCCUCAACACCCGUCCAUACCGCCGUGAUGAAUACGAUCCUCAAUUGGAUGGAACUGGAAUAAAUACUUUGAAUGUUGCGAUCCUGUCGGACUUAUGAUAGCUACCUGAAUCGUAACAAAGCACUGUUGGCCAGAGGAGAACUGGCCCCCCGACUAAGCCUGGUUUCUCCCAAGGUUUUUUUUCUCCAUUUAAACACCUAUUUGCCACUUGUCUGCCACCUGAUGUCACCUGAUGGAGUUUGGGUUCCUUGCCGCUGUCGCCUUUGGCUUGCUUAGUUGGGGACACUUGACAUUUGACUUGACAUUUGAUAUUCAACAGUGCUUUGAUCUGCCUGCAUUGACACUAUUCUUUUAAGAGCUGCUGUGCAGCCAAAUAAUGUACCAGUUAUCAAUGUAAAGCUGCUUUGACACAAUCUACAUUGUAAAAAGCGCUAUAUAAAUAAAGGUGACUUGACUUGACUUGA